CUUGAGUGACCCGAGCAGCAACGGCAUGUCCCGGUCCUGACCGUAGGUCGCGAGCAGCGCCUGCGCCUC
RNAcentral lists this antisense RNA (69 nucleotides) under Actinophytocola xinjiangensis. Its description in RNAcentral is "Actinophytocola sp. QAIII60 ASpks TB sRNA". It matches the Rfam family "ASpks TB sRNA". The record is from Rfam by way of RNAcentral. Lineage: Bacteria; Bacillati; Actinomycetota; Actinomycetes; Pseudonocardiales; Pseudonocardiaceae.